This 465-nucleotide ribosomal RNA is filed under the name uncultured bacterium. Its description in RNAcentral is "partial 16S ribosomal RNA". It matches the Rfam family "Bacterial small subunit ribosomal RNA", at positions 28 to 507 of the family's 1533-position model. The record is from RNAcentral.
GACGAACGCUGGCGGCGUGCUUAACACAUGCAAGUCGAACGGAAAGGCCCCCUUGUGGGGUACUCGAGUGGCGAACGGGUGAGUAACACGUGAGUAACCUACCCUUGACUUUGGGAUAACUUCGGGAAACUGGGGCUAAUACCGGAUAGGAGCUCCUGCUGCAUGGUGGGGGUUGGAAAGUUUCGGCGGUUGGGGAUGGACUCGCGGCUUAUCAGCUUGUUGGUGGGGUAGUGGCUCACCAAGGCUUUGACGGGUAGCCGGCCUGAGAGGGUGACCGGCCACAUUGGGACUGAGAUACGGCCCAGACUCCUACGGGAGGCAGCAGUGGGGAAUAUUGCACAAUGGGCGGAAGCCUGAUGCAGCAACGCCGCGUGCGGGAUGACGGCCUUCGGGUUGUAAACCGCUUUCGCCUGUGACGAAGCGUGAGUGACGGUAAUGGGUAAAGAAGCACCGGCUAACUACGUG